GACGAACGCUGGCGGCGUGCUUAACACGUGCAAGUCGAACGGAAAGGCCCUGCUUUUGUGGGGUGCUCGAGUGGCGAACGGGUGAGUAACACGUGAGUAACCUGCCCUUGACUUUGGGAUAACUUCAGGAAACUGGGGCUAAUACCGGAUAGGAGCUCCUGCUGCAUGGUGGGGGUUGGAAAGUUUCGGCGGUUGGGGAUGGACUCGCGGCUUAUCAGCUUGUUGGUGGGGUAGUGGCUUACCAAGGCUUUGACGGGUAGCCGGCCUGAGAGGGUGACCGGCCACAUUGGGACUGAGAUACGGCCCAGACUCCUACGGGAGGCAGCAGUGGGGAAUAUUGCACAAUGGGCGGAAGCCUGAUGCAGCAACGCCGCGUGCGGGAUGACGGCCUUCGGGUUGUAAACCGCUUUCGCCUGUGACGAAGCGUGAGUGACUGUAAUGGGUAAAGAAGCACCGGCUAACUACGUG
This 468-nucleotide ribosomal RNA is filed under the name uncultured bacterium. RNAcentral describes it as "partial 16S ribosomal RNA". It matches the Rfam family "Bacterial small subunit ribosomal RNA", at positions 28 to 507 of the family's 1533-position model. The record is from RNAcentral.